RNAcentral lists this ribosomal RNA (1882 nucleotides) under Escherichia coli. Its description in RNAcentral is "partial 23S ribosomal RNA". It matches the Rfam family "Bacterial large subunit ribosomal RNA", at positions 911 to 2776 of the family's 2925-position model. The record is from RNAcentral. Lineage: Bacteria; Pseudomonadati; Pseudomonadota; Gammaproteobacteria; Enterobacterales; Enterobacteriaceae.
UGUUUCGGCAAGGGGGUCAUCCCGACUUACCAACCCGAUGCAAACUGCGAAUACCGGAGAAUGUUAUCACGGGAGACACACGGCGGGUGCUAACGUCCGUCGUGAAGAGGGAAACAACCCAGACCGCCAGCUAAGGUCCCAAAGUCAUGGUUAAGUGGGAAACGAUGUGGGAAGGCCCAGACAGCCAGGAUGUUGGCUUAGAAGCAGCCAUCAUUUAAAGAAAGCGUAAUAGCUCACUGGUCGAGUCGGCCUGCGCGGAAGAUGUAACGGGGCUAAACCAUGCACCGAAGCUGCGGCAGCGACACUAUGUGUUGUUGGGUAGGGGAGCGUUCUGUAAGCCUGCGAAGGUGUGCUGUGAGGCAUGCUGGAGGUAUCAGAAGUGCGAAUGCUGACAUAAGUAACGAUAAAGCGGGUGAAAAGCCCGCUCGCCGGAAGACCAAGGGUUCCUGUCCAACGUUAAUCGGGGCAGGGUGAGUCGACCCCUAAGGCGAGGCCGAAAGGCGUAGUCGAUGGGAAACAGGUUAAUAUUCCUGUACUUGGUGUUACUGCGAAGGGGGGACGGAGAAGGCUAUGUUGGCCGGGCGACGGUUGUCCCGGUUUAAGCGUGUAGGCUGGUUUUCCAGGCAAAUCCGGAAAAUCAAGGCUGAGGCGUGAUGACGAGGCACUACGGUGCUGAAGCAACAAAUGCCCUGCUUCCAGGAAAAGCCUCUAAGCAUCAGGUAACAUCAAAUCGUACCCCAAACCGACACAGGUGGUCAGGUAGAGAAUACCAAGGCGCUUGAGAGAACUCGGGUGAAGGAACUAGGCAAAAUGGUGCCGUAACUUCGGGAGAAGGCACGCUGAUAUGUAGGUGAAGUCCCUCGCGGAUGGAGCUGAAAUCAGUCGAAGAUACCAGCUGGCUGCAACUGUUUAUUAAAAACACAGCACUGUGCAAACACGAAAGUGGACGUAUACGGUGUGACGCCUGCCCGGUGCCGGAAGGUUAAUUGAUGGGGUCAGCGCAAGCGAAGCUCUUGAUCGAAGCCCCGGUAAACGGCGGCCGUAACUAUAACGGUCCUAAGGUAGCGAAAUUCCUUGUCGGGUAAGUUCCGACCUGCACGAAUGGCGUAAUGAUGGCCAGGCUGUCUCCACCCGAGACUCAGUGAAAUUGAACUCGCUGUGAAGAUGCAGUGUACCCGCGGCAAGACGGAAAGACCCCGUGAACCUUUACUAUAGCUUGACACUGAACAUUGAGCCUUGAUGUGUAGGAUAGGUGGGAGGCUUUGAAGUGUGGACGCCAGUCUGCAUGGAGCCGACCUUGAAAUACCACCCUUUAAUGUUUGAUGUUCUAACGUUGACCCGUAAUCCGGGUUGCGGACAGUGUCUGGUGGGUAGUUUGACUGGGGCGGUCUCCUCCUAAAGAGUAACGGAGGAGCACGAAGGUUGGCUAAUCCUGGUCGGACAUCAGGAGGUUAGUGCAAUGGCAUAAGCCAGCUUGACUGCGAGCGUGACGGCGCGAGCAGGUGCGAAAGCAGGUCAUAGUGAUCCGGUGGUUCUGAAUGGAAGGGCCAUCGCUCAACGGAUAAAAGGUACUCCGGGGAUAACAGGCUGAUACCGCCCAAGAGUUCAUAUCGACGGCGGUGUUUGGCACCUCGAUGUCGGCUCAUCACAUCCUGGGGCUGAAGUAGGUCCCAAGGGUAUGGCUGUUCGCCAUUUAAAGUGGUACGCGAGCUGGGUUUAGAACGUCGUGAGACAGUUCGGUCCCUAUCUGCCGUGGGCGCUGGAGAACUGAGGGGGGCUGCUCCUAGUACGAGAGGACCGGAGUGGACGCAUCACUGGUGUUCGGGUUGUCAUGCCAAUGGCACUGCCCGGUAGCUAAAUGCGGAAGAGAUAAGUGCUGAAA